This 1246-nucleotide ribosomal RNA is filed under the name metagenome. RNAcentral describes it as "bacterial LSU rRNA". It matches the Rfam family "Bacterial large subunit ribosomal RNA", at positions 1564 to 2818 of the family's 2925-position model. The record is from RNAcentral.
UGAAUACGAGAUGCUACGGCGUCGAAGCAGUGUAUGUCAGACUUCCAAGAAAAGCUCGCAAUGUCAUAAAUAAAGAAUGCCUGUACCAUAACCGACACAGGUGGGUAGGUAGAGUAUACUAAGGGGCGCGAGAUAACUCUCUCUAAGGAACUCGGCAAAAUAACUCCGUAACUUCGGGAGAAGGAGUGCCUUCUUGAAGAAGGUUGCAAUAACAAGAUCCAAGCAACUGUUUAUCAAAAACACAGGUCUCCGCUAAGUCGAAAGACGAUGUAUGGGGGCUGACGCCUGCCCAGUGCCAGAAGGUUAAAGAAGCUGGUUAGCAAUAGCGAAGCUGGUGACUGAAGCCCUGGUGAACGGCGGCCGUAACAAUAACGGUCCUAAGGUAGCGAAAUUCCUUGUCGGGUAAGUUCCGACCCGCACGAAAGGCGUAAUGAUUUGGAUACUGUCUCGGAGAGGGACUCGGUGAAAUAGACUUGUCUGUGAAGAUGCGGACUGCCUGCACCAGGACAGAAAGACCCUAUGAAGCUUUACUGUAACUUGAAAUUGAAAUUGGACUUUAUUUGCGCAGUAUAGGUGGAAGGCGUUGAGAUUACUCUUGCGGGAUUAGUGGAGCCAUCAGUGAGAUACCACUCCUAUAAUGUUAGAUUUCUAACUUUGGAUCAUAAUCUGGUCAAAGAACAGUUUCAGGCGGGCAGUUUGACUGGGGCGGUCGCCUCCCAAAUGGUAACGGAGGCGUACAAAGGUUUCCUCUGAACGGGUAGAAAUCGUAUCUAGAGUGUAAAGGCAUAAGGAAGCUUGACUGUGAGACCUACAAGUCGAGCAGGGACGAAAGUCGGUCUUAGUGAUCUGACGGUGCUGAGUGGAAAGGCCGUCACUCAACGGAUAAAAGUUACUCUAAGGAUAACAGGCUGAUCUCCCCCAAGAGUUCACAUCGACGGGGAGGUUUGGCACCUCGAUGUCGGCUCAUCGCAUCCUGGGGCGGUAGUACGUCCCAAGGGUUGGGCUGUUCGCCCAUGAAAGCGGUACGCGAGCUGGGUUCAGAACGUCGUGAGACAGUUCGGUCCAUAUCCGAUGUAGGCGUUAGAAUAUUGAGAGGAGCCUUCUUUAGUACGAGAGGACCGAGAAGGACAUACCUCUGGUGUACCAGUUAUCGUGCCAACGGUAAACGCUGGGUAGCUAUGUAUGGAGAGGAUAACCGCUGAAAGCAUCUAAGUGGGAAGCCCACCUCAAGAUGAGUAUUCUCAUC